This is an RNA transcript of Dipodomys spectabilis (banner-tailed kangaroo rat), 1371 nucleotides long. It is a transcript of the gene named phosphoglycerate kinase 1-like, with no coding region annotated. Lineage: Eukaryota; Metazoa; Chordata; Mammalia; Rodentia; Heteromyidae. The record is from RefSeq and is a predicted model, not a curated record. The transcript has a single exon.
AUGUCUUUAGUGUACAUCUGCUUCUGCAUCCACUUUGGUCUCAGUUCUCAAUCAGUGUCACCCUCUCAAUAUUGCCAAACUGUGGCUAACAAGCUGACUCUGGACAAACUGGAUGUGAAGGGGAAAUGGAUCAUGAUAAGGGUGGACUUCAGUGUUCCUAUGAAGAACAACCAGAUAACAACCAACCAGAGGAUCAAGGCUGCUAUCCCAAGCAUCAUAUUCUGCUGGGACAAUGGUGCCAACUCAGUUGUCCUUAUGAGCUACCUGGGCCAGCCUGAUGGUGUCCCCAUGCCGGACAAGUACUCCGUAGAGCCAGUUGCUGUCGAACUCAAGUCUCUGCGGAGCAAGGAUGUUCUGUUCUUGAAGGAUUGUGUGGGCCCAGAAAUAGAGAAAGCCUGUUCAGCCCUGCAACUAGGUCUGUCAUCCUGCUGGAGAACUUCUGCUUUCAUGUAGAGGAAGAAGGGAAAGGAAAAAAUGCUUCCAGGAACAAGAUUAAAGCUGAACCAGCCAAAAUAGAAGCUUUCCGAGCAUCACUUUCCAAACUAGGGGCUGUCUAUGGCAAUGAUGCUUUCAGCACUGCACAUAGAGCGCACAGCUCCAUGGUGGGAGUCAAUCUGCCACAGAGGCUGGUGGAUUUUUGAUGAAGAAAAAGCUGAACUACUUUGCCAAAGCCUUGGAGAGCCCAGAGCGACCCUCUCUGGCCAUCUUGGGUGGAGCUAAAGUUGCGGACAAGAUCCAACUGAUCAAUAAUAUGUUGGACAAAGUCAAUGAGAUGAUUAUGGGGGGAGGAAUGGCUUUUACCUACCUCAAGGAAGGUAAAACAACUUGGAGAUUGGUACUUCUCUGUUUGAUGAAGAGGAAGCCAAGAUUGUUAAAGAUCUUAUGGUGAAAGCCGAGAAGAAUGGUGUAAAGAUGACCUUGCCUGUUGACUUUGUCACUGCUUGAUGAAAACACCUAGACUGGCCAAGCCACUGUGGCUUCUGGCAUACCUGCUGGCUGGAUGGGCUUGGACUGUGGUCCUGAGAGCAGCAAGAAGUACGUGGAGGCUGUCGGUCUGGCUAAGCAGAUUGAAUGGAAUAGACCUGUGGGGGUAUUUGAAUGGGAAGCUUUUGCUCAGGGAACCAAAGCUCUCAGGAACGAGGUGGUAAAAGCCACCUCUUGUGGCUGCAUUACCAUCAUAGGUGGUAGAGAAACUGACACAUGCUGUGCCCAAUGGCACACAGAGGAUAAACUCUGCCAUGUGAGCACUGUGGGGUGGUGCCAAUUUAGAGCUCCAGGAAGGUAAAGUCCUUCCUGGGGUGGAUGCUAUCAGCAGUGCUUAGUACUUUCCUGCCUCUUGGUUCCUAUGCACAGGUCCUAAGUCAACUUUUU